ACUGCUCAGUAACACGUAGCUAACUUACCCUUAGGUCAGGGAUACCCUCGGGAAACUGAGGUUAAUACCUGAUAAGAGAUAUACCCUGGAAAGAUUUAUCUCUCAAAUUCGAGCCUAAGGAUAGGGCUGCGGCGGAUUAGGUUGUUGGCGGAGUAAUAGCCCACCAAGCCGAAGAUCCGUAAGGGCUCUUAGCGGAGAGGCCCUGAGAGGGAAUCUGAGACACUAUUCCCAGCCCUACGGGGUGCAGCAGUUAGGAAUAUUCUUCAAUGCGCGAAAGCGUGAAAGAGCAAGCCAGAGUGCGUUCAAUUUGAAUGCUUUUGCCAAAUGUAAAAAGUUUGGCGAAUAAGGACUGGGAGAGACGGGUGCCAGCCGCCGCGGUAAUACCCGCGGUCCAAGUCGCAGCCAUCAUUAUUGGGUCUAGAACAUCCGUAGCUUGCUUAGUAAGUUCUUUGUGAAAUCCUAUGCCUCAAACAUAGGGCGUGCAAAGAGUACUGUUGAGCUAGAGACCGGAAGACGCAAAAAGUAUGUUCAAAGUAGCGGUUAAAUGCGUUAAUCUUGGACAGACUAAUAACAGCGAAGGCAUUUUGCGAGGACGGUUCUGACAGUUAGGGAUGAAGGCUAGGGGCGCAAAGUGGAUUAGAUACCCAUGUAGUCCUAGCAGUAAACACUGCACACUAUACAUUAGUACCUCUUCGAGAGGUAUUGGUGCUGUAGAGAAGUCGAAGAGUGUGCUACCUGGGAAGUAUAGCCGCAAGGCCGAAACUUAAAGGAAUUGGCGGGGGAG
This 784-nucleotide ribosomal RNA is filed under the name uncultured archaeon. RNAcentral describes it as "partial 16S ribosomal RNA". It matches the Rfam family "Archaeal small subunit ribosomal RNA", at positions 85 to 876 of the family's 1478-position model. The record is from RNAcentral.